CAGAGCUUGCUCUGUGGAUCAGUGGCGAACGGGUGAGUAACACGUGAGCAACCUGCCCCGGACUCUGGGAUAAGCGCUGGAAACGGCGUCUAAUACUGGAUACGAGCAGCGGAGGCAUCUUCAGCUGCUGGAAAGAUUUUUUGGUCUGGGAUGGGCUCGCGGCCUAUCAGCUAGUUGGUGAGGUAACGGCUCACCAAGGCGUCGACGGGUAGCCGGCCUGAGAGGGUGACCGGCCACACUGGGACUGAGACACGGCCCAGACUCCUACGGGAGGCAGCAGUGGGGAAUAUUGCACAAUGGGCGGAAGCCUGAUGCAGCAACGCCGCGUGAGGGAUGACGGCCUUCGGGUUGUAAACCUCUUUUAGCAAGGAAGAAGCGAAAGUGACGGUACUUGCAGAAAAAGCGCCGGCUAACUACGUGCCAGCAGCCGCGGUAAUACGUAGGGCGCAAGCGUUAUCCGGAAUUAUUGGGCGUAAAGAGCUCGUAGGCGGUCUGUCGCGUCUGCUGUGAAAACCCGAGGCUCAACCUCGGGCCUGCAGUGGGUACGGGCAGACUAGAGUGCGGUAGGGGAGAUUGGAAUUCCUGGUGUAGCGGUGGAAUGCGCAGAUAUCAGGAGGAACACCGAUGGCGAAGGCAGAUCUCUGGGCCGUAACUGACGCUGAGGAGCGAAAGGGUGGGGAGCAAACAGGCUUAGAUACCCUGGUAGUCCACCCCGUAAACGUUGGGA
RNAcentral lists this ribosomal RNA (727 nucleotides) under Microbacterium sp. RNAcentral's name for it is "bacterial SSU rRNA". It matches the Rfam family "Bacterial small subunit ribosomal RNA", at positions 74 to 814 of the family's 1533-position model. The record is from RNAcentral. Lineage: Bacteria; Bacillati; Actinomycetota; Actinomycetes; Micrococcales; Microbacteriaceae.